This is a long non-coding RNA of Panicum virgatum (switchgrass), 795 nucleotides long. RefSeq lists it as uncharacterized. The record is from RefSeq and is a predicted model, not a curated record. Lineage: Eukaryota; Viridiplantae; Streptophyta; Magnoliopsida; Poales; Poaceae. The transcript is spliced from 2 exons.
ACUGCAGCUAGAUCCGUAGUGCGCAAUGUGGUGCUGUGUGGAGAUGCAAUGGUAGCAGACAGAAAAGCUGCUUACUCAGCUGAUUGCGUGAAACCAGGUACAAAAGAGUGUGAAAACAGCUGUGCAAGGGUGUGAAAUCAGGAAAAAAAAAGUAUCCUUUGUAUGAUCACUGACAACACGGUUCACUACUUACUCGCAGCUAUUUGUGUUCCAAGUAUGAAAACAUUGACAAGUUAUGCUUUCUCUUGUCAUGCUGAUCAUAUAUAUGGUCUGUCAUAGAAGACUUCUUGGCCCAUGAUGACCUUGCACACGUCUCACAAAUUAUUCCAGAUCCGUAGCAUACAAGUGGACUUGCGCUUUUUCCAGAAAUACCCACCUAAUAACUAUUUUACUAAUGGUGACAAUAAUGUUGCUCCAACACCAAAUCUCACAGGGAUCCUAACUUCCUGGUAAGUUUCUACACCAUCAACUGCCAAGUCACCAAAUUUAGAUUUUAUUAUUCCCACAAUAUCUCAAUAUCUCUAACUUAAUUAUAGUACUGAUGCUUCUUGCAUUAUAAUAUUACAGGACAUCUUCACUGCUUUUGUGAACAAAAACAGGCCCCUUGCGGAACUCUUUGUUUACCUAGAAUAACCAUAUGUAUAUUUUAGAUUUCUAUCUUAGACUAUGAAGCUGAUAGCUGUUAUCUCAACAAAUGCUAGAACCCUAUGUUCUAUUGUAAUAUAACUGCAAAUGCUAGAACUUCUUGUAAAGUACUCUAAUAUUUUGUUAUAAUAUAACCAGGAAAUUUUUCUC